RNAcentral lists this ribosomal RNA (158 nucleotides) under uncultured bacterium. RNAcentral describes it as "partial 16S ribosomal RNA". It matches the Rfam family "Bacterial small subunit ribosomal RNA", at positions 355 to 509 of the family's 1533-position model. The record is from RNAcentral.
UGAGGAAUAUUGGGUCAAUGGGAGAGAUCCUGAACCAGCCAAGCCGCGUGAGGGAAGACGGCCCUAUGGGUUGUAAACCUCUUUUGUCGGAGAACAAAACCUGGGACGUGUCCCGGACUGCGUGUAUCCGAAGAAAAAGCAUCGGCUAACUCCGUGCC